UACGUAGGGUGCGAGCGUUAAUCGGAAUUACUGGGCGUAAAGGGUGCGCAGGCGGUUUUGUAAGUCGGAUGUGAAAGCCCCGGGCUCAACCUGGGAAUGGCAUUUGGGACUGCAAGGCUUGAGUGCGGCAGAGGAGACUGGAAUUCCUGGUGUAGCAGUGAAAUGCGUAGAUAUCAGGAGGAAUACCGAUGGCGAAGGCAGGUCUCUGGGCUGACACUGACGCUCAUGCACGAAAGCGUGGGGAGCAAACAGG
This 253-nucleotide ribosomal RNA is filed under the name uncultured bacterium. RNAcentral describes it as "partial 16S ribosomal RNA". It matches the Rfam family "Bacterial small subunit ribosomal RNA", at positions 524 to 776 of the family's 1533-position model. The record is from RNAcentral.